RNAcentral lists this ribosomal RNA (1346 nucleotides) under Coniochaeta ostrea. RNAcentral describes it as "partial 28S large subunit ribosomal RNA". It matches the Rfam family "Eukaryotic large subunit ribosomal RNA", at positions 79 to 1431 of the family's 3401-position model. Lineage: Eukaryota; Fungi; Ascomycota; Sordariomycetes; Coniochaetales; Coniochaetaceae. The record is from RNAcentral.
CCUAGUAACGGCGAGUGAAGCGGCAACAGCUCAAAUUUGAAAUCUGGCUUCGGCUCGAGUUGUAAUUUGUAGAGGAUGCUUUUGGCGAGGUGCCUUCUGAGUUCCCUGGAACGGGACGCCACAGAGGGUGAGAGCCCCGUAUAGUCGGACACCUAGCCUCUGUAAAGCUCCUUCGACGAGUCGAGUAGUUUGGGAAUGCUGCUCAAAAUGGGAGGUAUAUCUCUUCUAAAGCUAAAUACUGGCCAGAGACCGAUAGCGCACAAGUAGAGUGAUCGAAAGAUGAAAAGCACUUUGAAAAGAGGGUUAAAUAGCACGUGAAAUUGUUGAAAGGGAAGCGCUUGUGACCAGACUUGUGCCGGGCUGAUCAUCCAGUGUUCUCACUGGUGCACUCGACCCGGCUCAGGCCAGCGUCGGUUCUCGCAGGGGGACAAAAGCUCCGGGAACGUGGCUCCUCCGGGAGUGUUAUAGCCCGCUGCUCAAUACCCUUGCGGGGACCGAGGUUCGCGCUCUGCAAGGACGCUGGCAUAAUGGUCAUCAGCGACCCGUCUUGAAACACGGACCAAGGAGUNNNNNNNNNNNNNNNNNNNNNNNNNNNNNNNNNNNNNCUCCUAAAGCUACCCACGACCCAAGCGGCCGCCGAAAGGCGCGCCGUGGCCAGGUUAACCGCCUGGGUACGGUAAUACUGUGGCAGAUACUACAAUGGACGAUCCGCAGCCAGCCCCUAGAGCGCUCCGGCGUACGGGGAGGGUUCACAGACUAGACGGUAGUGGGUCUGGCAGGCGCCGGGCUUAAGAUAUAGUCGGGGCCGGGCGGGAAACCGCCCGGGACAGCGCUAGUAGCUGGUUACCGCCGAAGUUUCCCUCAGGAUAGCAGUGUUGUUCUUCAGUUUUAUGAGGUAAAGCGAAUGAUUAGGGACUCGGGGGCGCUAUUUAGCCUUCAUCCAUUCUCAAACUUUAAAUAUGUAAGAAGCCCUUGUUACUUAGUUGAACGNNGGCAUUCGAAUGUACCAACACUAGUGGGCCAUUUUUGGUAAGCAGAACUGNCGAUGCGGGAUGAACCGAACGCGGGGUUAAGGUGCCAGAGUGGACGCUCAUCAGACACCACAAAAGGCGUUAGUACAUCUUGACAGCAGGACGGUGGCCAUGGAAGUCGGAAUCCGCUAAGGACUGUGUAACAACUCACCUGCCGAAUGUACUAGCCCUGAAAAUGGAUGGCGCUCAAGCGUCCCACCCAUACCCCGCCGUCAGGGUAGAAACGAUGCCCUGACGAGUAGGCGGCCGUGGGGGUCAGUGACGAAGGCCUGGGUACGGUAAUACUGUGGCAGAUACUACAAUGGACGAUCCGCA